CAACAUGUAGAAUAGCUGAAAAGAAAAAGGGAUACAAAGAGCUGCACAAAGCAGGAGAACCAUUUGAUUUAAAAAUAAACCUGAAAAGAGCCAGGUUAUGUUUAAUAAAUUAACCAAAGCAAGGGAAAAAAGUAUAUCUGGAGAAGAACUAGACUUAAUAG
Non-coding RNA from Pseudonaja textilis, 161 nucleotides. Lineage: Eukaryota; Metazoa; Chordata; Lepidosauria; Squamata; Elapidae. The record is from RefSeq and is a predicted model, not a curated record.